GACGAACGCUGGCGGCGUGCUUAACACAUGCAAGUCGAACGGAAAGGCCCUGCUUUUGUGGGGUGCUCGAGUGGCGAACGGGUGAGUAACACGUGAGUAACCUGCCCUUGACUUUGGGAUAACUUCAGGAAACUGGGGCUAAUACCGGAUAGGAGCUCCUGCUGCAUGGUGGGGGUUGGAAAGUUUCGGCGGUUGGGGAUGGACUCGCGGCUUAUCAGCUUGUUGGUGGGGUAGUGGCUUACCAAGGCUUUGACGGGUAGCCGGCCUGAGAGGGUGACCGGCCACAUUGGGACUGAGAGACGGCCCAGACUCCUACGGGAGGCAGCAGUGGGGAAUAUUGCACAAGGGGCGGAAGCCUGAUGCAGCAACGCCGCGGGCGGGAUGACGGCCUUCGGGUGGUAAACCGCUUUCGCCUGUGACGAAGCGUGAGUGACGGUAAUGGGUAAAGAAGCACCGGCUAACUACGU
RNAcentral lists this ribosomal RNA (467 nucleotides) under uncultured bacterium. RNAcentral describes it as "partial 16S ribosomal RNA". It matches the Rfam family "Bacterial small subunit ribosomal RNA", at positions 28 to 506 of the family's 1533-position model. The record is from RNAcentral.